Molecule: long non-coding RNA, 879 nt
Filed under: Chinchilla lanigera (long-tailed chinchilla)
Lineage: Eukaryota; Metazoa; Chordata; Mammalia; Rodentia; Chinchillidae
Description: lncRNA (ENSCLAG00000024233.1)
Source: RNAcentral
GUCCUUUCAGAGCGGGUGCUGGGUUCCUGAAAUCUCAUGUACGGAGGGCAGGAAGGGACAGAUGGGUUUCACUGAUGCCCUCUUUCGGCUGUGUCAGUUUGAGGGAGGGUGAGUGUGCGGUAGAGGGCAGAGGUGAAGUAUUUCCUCUGCAGCCGCUUGCAGAUCCGUGGCAUCUCUGCAUACUGCAGCUCACCUCCCGUGGCGGUGGAGCUGCACGCUGGCCCAGCUGACAGUGGGCUUGUUCAUGGUCUGCUGCACACAUGCGAGGGAAGAUUUUUAAUGAUGCUGAGAGAUGGAUGGCAAUGGAAAUUACUAUCACGUCCCACCCUCUGGCCUCUUGGUGCGCCUGUGUGGGGUGGGGUGGAGAUGGGGAGGAAGCAAACCCAGGCACUGCAGCCGGGCUCCUGGCCACUUCCAGGAGGCCAACACGGAGUUCCGGUUUCUGGCUUGAGAGCCCACCUGGGAGGACCUGCCGCCGGGCUGCUGGAUACAGGGAGGCUCAGCACUCAGCGGACACUACACAGCAGGCAGUGUAGACCACACACGGGCCGGCCUCAGCAAGAGGCAGAGGACCCAGCCGAAGACCCCACGUGAGAGCUAAGAGGGGCAGGAGACUGUCUCCCCCCACCCCGCUUUGGAAAGCAGCCACACUUGACCUCUCUGCAGACAAAAGCUGGGGCCGGACUGGCACCGUGCGAUCCAGCAGCCACAGCCCCACUCGCAGCCGGCUGUCUGAACGGACGCGUGCUGUGUGGGUAAAACACGACGGGCUUCUGCCGGCUUGGUAUGAUAAAACCAAGGCAAAAGAGCUCAUUAAUAAUUUUCGCAUUGAUUGUAUGUUGAAAUGAUAAUAUUUUCAAUAUAUUGGAUUAAAUAAAA